RNAcentral lists this long non-coding RNA (306 nucleotides) under Elaeis guineensis (African oil palm). Its description in RNAcentral is "long non-coding RNA (EGUI_LNC072740)". Lineage: Eukaryota; Viridiplantae; Streptophyta; Magnoliopsida; Arecales; Arecaceae. The record is from RNAcentral.
GGUGUCUGGACCACCAUCCUGAGUGGAAUUCUUAAGAUCGGCCAUUUAUGACUUCGGUAUCAAAUUUAAUCCUGUCCCUACAGCCUUUAAUACAGACGGCAGAUGGUGGAAUAUUUGAGCAUGCUGAGUUUUGACUUCGGCCGUAAGCAUACAUUAGCCGCCAUCAGAUUUUACCUUGUCGGGUAAGAUUUAACUUAGCUGUUUCUUUUCCUCAGCACCCUCUUCCAUCGAAUUAAGCCAAACCCCCAACUAAAGGGGCAGGGCCAAUUCCACCUGCACUUUAUUUGAAAAUUCAAAAGCACCCAC